AUACGGAGGGAGCAAGCGUUAUUCGGAAUCACUGGGCGUAAAGGACGCGUAGGCGGGUUUGUAAGUCAGGUGUGAAAUCCUACAGCUCAACUGUAGAACUGCACUUGAAACUACAGAACUAGAGUAUGGAAGGGGCAGAUGGAAUUAGUGGUGUAGGGGUAAAAUCCGUAGAUAUCACUAGGAAUACCGAAAGCGAAGGCGAUCUGCUGGGACAUUACUGACGCUGAGGCGUGAAAGCGUGGGGAGCAAACAGGAUUAGAAACCCCAGUAGUCC
RNAcentral lists this ribosomal RNA (274 nucleotides) under uncultured bacterium. RNAcentral's name for it is "partial 16S ribosomal RNA". It matches the Rfam family "Bacterial small subunit ribosomal RNA", at positions 523 to 796 of the family's 1533-position model. The record is from RNAcentral.